RNAcentral lists this ribosomal RNA (304 nucleotides) under uncultured bacterium. RNAcentral describes it as "bacterial SSU rRNA". It matches the Rfam family "Bacterial small subunit ribosomal RNA", at positions 29 to 334 of the family's 1533-position model. The record is from RNAcentral.
AGUGAACGCUGGCGGCGUGCUUAACACAUGCAAGUCGAACGAUGAAACCUAGCUUGCUAGGUGGAUUAGUGGCGCACGGGUGAGUAAUGAAUAGAUAAUCUGCCUUUUAGUGGGGGACGACAGUUGGAAACGACUGCUAAUACCCCAUACUCCUUUUAAACAUAAGUUUAAUCGGGAAAGUUUUUCGCUAAAAGAUGAGUCUAUUUCCCAUCAGCUAGUUGGUAAGGUAAGAGCUUACCAAGGCUAUGACGGGUAGCUGGUCUUAGAGGACGAUCAGCCACACUGGAACUGAGACACGGUCCAG